GCUGUUCUAAACGCUGUCUGUGUAUUGCCUGAGUUAAUCCUCAUAACACACAUAGAACAUAGUCCUUGGUUUCCAUUCUGAAGAAAUAAGCUGAGUCAGCAGAGAGAGGACCACGGGCUGAGGAACUCGCCACAGAGAAGAGUCAGGAAGCGGCUCCAGGGCUUCUGCUUCCGGAAGGGUCUCCUGCGGCCCAGACUCCUCUCAGGGACCUCAGAGCUCAGUCCAGGGCCCAGCACGUUGCUGCCAAGGGCUCCUCCUUAGACUGUAUGUUUGGGAAGCUGGGCCACUUAAGUAAGCUACAUUAAGCCACCAUGACUUGGCUAAUGUUUUCCUAUGUUUCUAUUUUUAUCACUCAUCAAAUAUACUUUUCUGUUUGUUUCCUACCAUUCAUGAUAUAUAAUUGUGAAUUGAAUAUUUGCACCAUGUUGUAAUCUAGCUGUGUUCCCGCACUAAGCUGCUUAAGAAAGACAAGCAGCUGAAAACAGGAAACCUGCAUUUUAGCUCAUCUGUGUUAUUGAUCCUGAGCAAACGUAUGAUUUUCACUAUCUUUUGAAAUACAGAUAAUAGCCAUCGGUGUCAUUGCUAUCAUCUGAAAUGACACACACAGUCCCCAUGUGGUGUUUUCAUUUUUCCCAUCACAUCAUCUCAUUUUAGCGGUGUAGAGGCCAGUCUGCAGGAGGGCUGAGCGGGGCCCGGAACCCCAGGCUCCAGGUUUCAGGCAUGAUUCCCAUUCCAGCUGCUGAUGUGGCCCUCGGAAGGCUCUGCCCCCACAUGGAGGAGGCAUCAUCCCCUCUCACUGACUGUCCAGCACCUGCUCUGCCCCCACAAGGAGAAGGCGUCAUCCCCUCUCACUGACUGUCCAGCACCUGCCCUGCCCCCACAAGGAGAAGGCGUCAUCCCCUCUCACUGACUGUCCAGCACCUGCUCUGCCCCCACACAGAGGAGGCAUCGUUUUCCCUCUCGCUGACUGCCCAGCAUUUCCUCGUUCAGGGUCUGUGUUUCUAGUUAUUUGAAUCCCGUCAUGUCUUUGUGUUCCAUAAAACCUCUGCCUUCUCUGGCAUACUCAGACCAUUUUCCCAAGAUUGACUUUAAAUAUUUCCCCGCUACUGUGUAUGGCCUUACAAUGACAAAACAGGAUGCUUACAGCUUCCUCCACACAUAAUCUAUUACACCAUGAGUGUUUUAAAAAUCUCCCUGUAAGAUAUUUAAUCGUCAUUCUCCACCUGGAACUUCCAGUCUCCAGAACGGUAUGGUUAGAGUUUUAGAAUCAAAAUUCUACUGCGUCCCAGACAAAUACUCGGCUCUUGAUCCAAUUUUUUUUAUGGGAAAAAAAUGAGUUUCUUUCAUUACCUGCAAUGGAAUUUCCUAUGAUAGCAUGACGCUUGUUUUUCAACCAAUUGUAGGUACUAUAUCUAUAAUAAAUAUUCCUAGGUUGUGUUUGAAUGCCAUAUAACCACUUAUUUCAAAUUAUAUCAUGCCGAUGAAACCAACUCAACUCUUAAAAAUAGGGGCUAUUUCUUCUUGCUAUCUAAUCUGAUUCAAAUCUAGCAGUAUGAAAGCCAGGUGAUUUAUGUUUUAUUAGAUAAAUAACAUAAAAAUACCCAUCACAAAUGGAUGUUUUCUUACUAAUGUGCUUUGAUUUAUCUGUGCAUUUCAGACUUGCAGGGUUUUACAUUGUCUUGUGUAUAACUUACUGAAACCCGUGUUUGGGAAUUUGAAAGCAAAGCAUUGCAGAGGUGGGAAGGCCGCCCGACAGUUAGGCUCUUGAGCCUGGAGUUAGUGGGGCU
Macaca fascicularis (crab-eating macaque) is the source of this 1787-nucleotide long non-coding RNA. The record is from Ensembl. Lineage: Eukaryota; Metazoa; Chordata; Mammalia; Primates; Cercopithecidae.